This 253-nucleotide ribosomal RNA is filed under the name uncultured bacterium. RNAcentral's name for it is "partial 16S ribosomal RNA". It matches the Rfam family "Bacterial small subunit ribosomal RNA", at positions 524 to 776 of the family's 1533-position model. The record is from RNAcentral.
UACGUAGGGCGCAAGCGUUGUCCGGAAUUAUUGGGCGUAAAGAGUUCGUAGGCGGUUUGUCGCGUCCGUUGUGAAAGCCCAGGGCUCAACCCUGGGUCUGCAGUGGAUACGGGCAGACUAGAGUCAGGUAGGGGAGAACGGAAUUCCUGGUGUAGCGGUGAAAUGCGCAGAUAUCAGGAGGAACACCGAUGGCGAAGGCAGGUCUCUGGGCCACUACUGACGCUGAGAAGCGAAAGCGUGGGGAGCGAACAGG